AAUAAGAUCCAGACUGAGCAAGGACCCAAGUUCAUAGUCUUUCCUCUGGGCUUUCAGCAGCCCCUCUUUUCACGCUCCUAGUGCGUGGGGAGCUUGCAGCUGGCAGUUCGCGUAUGUUACUCUUCCCUUCCCUUCAAGAGACUGGGUGUAGAGAAGAUGCUUCUGGCCGCACCUGAAUGAGGGCAAAGCCAGACGACAAGAUAACAAACAGCCCCAGUUUGUGCUGUGACUCAGCCCCCACCAGCUGGAUUGCAGCAACCCCAGCUCCUUGCCUGCCUCUGACUCAGAUGAAGGACAUCCUUGUCCCGUGGAACAUCUGGCUCCCAGGUCCUGAG
This is a long non-coding RNA of Bos taurus (domestic cattle), 335 nucleotides long. The record is from Ensembl. NCBI's taxonomy places the organism in Eukaryota, Metazoa, Chordata, Mammalia, Artiodactyla, Bovidae.